GUGAGUAGUUCAGAGUUUGAUCCUGGCUCAGGAUGAACGCUGGCGGCGUGCUUAACACAUGCAAGUCGAACGAAGCACCUUGGAAUGCGUCUUCGGACAAAUGAAUUGGUGACUUAGUGGCGGACGGGUGAGUAACGCGUGGGUAACCUGCCUCACACAGGGGGAUAACAGUUAGAAAUGACUGCUAAAACCGCAUAACAUGGCGAGACCGCAUGACCUUGCCAUCAAAUAUUUAUAGGUGUGAGAUGGGCCCGCGUCUGAUUAGCUAGUUGGUGAGGUAAUGGCUCACCAAGGCAACGAUCAGUAGCCGGCUUGAGAGAGUGAACGGCCACAUUGGGACUGAGACACGGCCCAA
RNAcentral lists this ribosomal RNA (355 nucleotides) under uncultured bacterium. RNAcentral describes it as "bacterial SSU rRNA". It matches the Rfam family "Bacterial small subunit ribosomal RNA", at positions 1 to 334 of the family's 1533-position model. The record is from RNAcentral.